GGUGGCUCAGUGGUAGAGUGCUUGCCUUGCAUGCAUGAGGCCCUGGGUUCGGUUCCCCAGCACCA
RNAcentral lists this transfer RNA (65 nucleotides) under Dipodomys ordii (Ord's kangaroo rat). It matches the Rfam family "tRNA". From Rfam's summary of the family: Transfer RNA (tRNA) molecules are approximately 80 nucleotides in length. Lineage: Eukaryota; Metazoa; Chordata; Mammalia; Rodentia; Heteromyidae. The record is from Rfam by way of RNAcentral.